RNAcentral lists this ribosomal RNA (292 nucleotides) under uncultured microorganism. RNAcentral's name for it is "partial 16S ribosomal RNA". It matches the Rfam family "Bacterial small subunit ribosomal RNA", at positions 505 to 796 of the family's 1533-position model. The record is from RNAcentral.
GUGCCAGCAGCCGCGGUAAUACGUAGGUGGCAAGCGUUGUCCGGAAUUAUUGGGCGUAAAGGGCGCGCAGGCGGUUUCUUAAGUCUGAUGUGAAAGCCCCCGGCUCAACCGGGGAGGGUCAUUGGAAACUGGGGGACUUGAGUGCAGAAGAGGAAAGUGGAAUUCCACGUGUAGCGGUGAAAUGCGUAGAGAUGUGGAGGAACACCAGUGGCGAAGGCGACUUUCUGGUCUGUAACUGACGCUGAGGAGCGAAAGCGUGGGGAGCAAACAGGAUUAGAUACCCUGGUAGUCC